GAUGAAGAACGUAGCGAAAUGCGAUAAGUAAUGUGAAUUGCAGAUUUCAGUGAAUCAUCGAAUCUUUGAACGCACAUUGCGCCCGCCAGUAUUCUGGCGGGCAUGCCUGUUCGAGCGUCAUUACAACCCUCAGGCCCCCGGGCCUGGCGUUGGGGAUCGGCGGAGCCCCCCGUGGGCACACGCCGUCCCCCAAAUGCAGUGGCGGUCCCGCCGCAGCUUCCAUCGCGUAGUAGCUAACACCUCGCGACUGGAGAGCGGCGCGGCCACGCCGUAAAACACCCAACUCUUCUGAAGUUGACCUCGAAUCAGGUAGGAAUACCCGCUGAACUUAAGCAUAUCAAUAAGCGGAGGA
This 352-nucleotide unclassified non-coding RNA is filed under the name soil metagenome. RNAcentral's name for it is "partial contains 5.8S ribosomal RNA, internal transcribed spacer 2, and large subunit ribosomal RNA". The stretch from base 1 to 120 matches the Rfam family "5.8S ribosomal RNA", at positions 35 to 154 of the family's 154-position model. The record is from RNAcentral.